GACAGAGGGUGCAAACGUUGUUCGGAAUUACUGGGCGUAAAGCGCGUGUAGGCGGCCAUCUAAGUCGGGCGUGAAAUCCCACGGCUCAACCGUGGAAGUGCACUCGAAACUGGAUGGCUAGAGUCCUGGAGAGGAAGGUGGAAUGCUUGGUGUAGAGGUGAAAUUCGUAGAUAUCAAGCGGAACACCGGUGGCGAAGGCG
Molecule: ribosomal RNA, 200 nt
Filed under: uncultured bacterium
Lineage: Bacteria
Description: partial 16S ribosomal RNA
Rfam family: Bacterial small subunit ribosomal RNA
Source: RNAcentral